Molecule: ribosomal RNA, 273 nt
Filed under: uncultured bacterium
Lineage: Bacteria
Description: partial 16S ribosomal RNA
Rfam family: Bacterial small subunit ribosomal RNA
Source: RNAcentral
AACGUAGGGGACAAGCGUUAUCCGGAUUUACUGGGCGUAAAGCGCAUGUAGGUGGCUUAUCAAGUUGGACGUGAAAGCUCCCGGCUUAACUGGGAGAGGUCGUACAAAACUGGCAAGCUAGAGGAUGGAAGAGGAGAGCGGAAUUCCCGGUGUAGUGGUGGAAUGCGUAGAUAUCGGGAGGAACACCAGUGGCGAAAGCGGCUCUCUGGUUCGUGCCUGACACUGAGAUGCGAAAGCGUGGGGAGCGAACGGGAUUAGAAACCCUCGUAGUCC